Long non-coding RNA from Gasterosteus aculeatus aculeatus (three-spined stickleback), 1446 nucleotides. NCBI's taxonomy places the organism in Eukaryota, Metazoa, Chordata, Actinopteri, Perciformes, Gasterosteidae. The record is from Ensembl.
CCCCCCUCCCAACGUUAAAGACAUAGGAAGAGAGAGGGAGAGGAUUGCGAAAGGCAAAGCUCACCUUGCCACUCUUUGGCAGCGUAACUUGGGACCGGAGGAUCGGUUUUUCUCCUAAUUUAGGCAUCCGCAACAAAUGCAGGAAAAAUCUAAUCGCAUGUGCCUGAGGAAGAUACUGUGGGAAACCAAACACCCCAAGAGAACCUGGAAUGAACUCCAAGAAGCCCCUGUGAUCAGGAAAUGAAUCCCAGCGCUGUCGUAGGGCGGCGGACGCCUGGUAACAUAAGUACCGGAGCCCUACCCGAUGAAGAACAUACUCGAGAAGGAUAAAAACUACGAAUCUGAGAUGCUUCAUAGCUAGAUGAGGAAUGAACCAGAAGAAAUCCAAGAAGGCCGCAGACAAGCUCUGACACCUUAAGGUCCAGGAACAAAACCUAAAACCAUUAGACAAAGGAAUAAAAAAUCCAAGAUCCCCAUAAGAUAGGGAAACACGCUGUAAGAACCUUGAAGGUCCAGGUACUAAUACUAAAGGCUUUAGAACCCAGGAACCUAAAAUCCAAGAAGCUCAGAAGAGGACAAACACACUUUAAGAGCCUCAAAGGUCCGGGCACAAACCAUCACGCCUUUAGCACCUAAGAACCAAACAUCUGAGAUGAGAAACACACUUUAAGAACCCUCUUGGAACUGAGACAACUGGCAGAAGGGCUGAGCAUGUGGGGGACGGUGAGACGGAGUUGGACAAAGACAGGAGUGUCUGCGCUGCACUCGGGAUGGGGGGGGCAGGUGAAGGUGGCGGGGGGGGGGGGGGGGGGGGCACUCAAUGGUGGCUUCGGAACACAACUUUACAAGCAAGCUGUGAACCUAUGGGAUGCCACAUCAUCGUCGUUAUUAUUGUUAUUAUUCAUAGCAUUAUUUAUAAAUAUUAUCACAACAUUCAAACAAGCUUUGGCCGUGGCGUUAAGAGCGGACCGCAGAGACAUUUGCAAGAGUAAAGAAAUCCCCAUUAUUCUACAAAAAAAAAAAAGCAAAACAAAACAAAGGCCAGGCCUUAAAGAUAGAGAGAGAUACGCAACAUCACUGGGUGGGUCGGGCUGAAAGAAUCACAUUCCUCCAUUUUCUAGACAUCUGUAAAAAAAAAAAGAAAGGUUUUGUGAUUGAGGUGUUAUCUGGAGGUGAGUGGAAAGACAAAAUACUACAAUGUCACUAUACAUUGUGUCGCUCUUCACCGCGGAGCCUUCGAGUUCGAUGGUUCUUUUUCAUUUUUUCACUUCUUUUUGUUUUUGGCUUUGAUUUGAGAGUCGAAAAAAAUGGCUGUGGAGCUUUCGAUUGGAAGCUCAGUCAGAGUCUUAAAGCUAGACAGUUGCACCGACGAGUCCGUUUCUGCAUCCUACUUGUGUUUAUUGAUUCCGGCCCGGCGUGCGAGAUGCGGCGCGCCCCCCCCCCCCC